GACUGUUCUGUUGGCCUAUGUGGCUAGAGCAUUUGCCUUUGAUGCAAGAGGUCAUGGGUUCAAACCUCGGCCGAGUCA
This is a non-coding RNA of Potamilus streckersoni, 78 nucleotides long. The record is from the annotation of a GenBank genome assembly. Lineage: Eukaryota; Metazoa; Mollusca; Bivalvia; Unionida; Unionidae.